AGAGUUUGAUCAUGGCUCAGAUUGAACUCUGGCGGCAUGCUUUACACAUGCAAGUCGAACGGCAGCGGGGGCUUCGGCCUGCCGGCGAGUGGCGAACGGGUGAGUAAUACAUCGGAACGUGUCCUUAAGUGGGGAAUAACGCAUCGAAAGAUGUGCUAAUACCGCAUAUCUCUCAGGAGGAAAGCAGGGGAUCGAAAGACCUUGCGCUAAAGGAGCGGCUGAUGUCUGAUUAGCUAGUUGGUGGGGUAAAGGCUUACCAAGGCAACGAUCAGUAGCUGGUCUGAGAGGACGACCAGCCACACUGGGACUGAGACACGGCCCAGACUCCUACGGGAGGCAGCAGUGGGGAAUUUUGGACAAUGGGCGAAAGCCUGAUCCAGCCAUGCCGCGUGAGUGAAGAAGGCCUUCGGGUUGUAAAGCUCUUUUAGUCGGAAAGAAAGAGUCAUAGUAAAUAGCUAUGAUUUAUGACGGUACCGACAGAAAAAGCACCGGCUAACUACGUGCCAGCAGCCGCGGUAAUACGUAGGGUGCGAGCGUUAAUCGGAAUUACUGGGCGUAAAGGGUGCGCAGGCGGCCUUGUAAGUCAGAUGUGAAAGCCCCGGGCUUAACCUGGGAAUUGCGUUUGAAACUACAAAGCUAGAGUGCAGCAGAGGGGAGUGGAAUUCCAUGUGUAGCAGUGAAAUGCGUAGAGAUGUGUAAGACCACCGAUGGCGAAGGCAGCUCCCUGGGU
This 730-nucleotide ribosomal RNA is filed under the name uncultured bacterium. RNAcentral's name for it is "bacterial SSU rRNA". It matches the Rfam family "Bacterial small subunit ribosomal RNA", at positions 8 to 734 of the family's 1533-position model. The record is from RNAcentral.